GAAAGCUAAUGAUCUGUAGGUGCUUCCCCCCCUCUUUCCUCUGGGCCCUAUCUCCUGUCGGUGGGGACAGGGGAGCAAGCAGAAGGACAAGGGCUCUCAUUCUGUCACCAUCUUUGCAGGGUCCUCCUUUCAGUCUUUCACUUGCUCUCAGGUGCUCUGAGGCCAUGUGAAGAACUUUCUGUGGUUUUCCCAAGGAUAAGCUUUCCUCUAUUUUUCUACGUCUUUGUGGCUUUUCUCCUCUCGACCCCUCCGUAAAGUGACCAGAGCUCAGUACAAAGCUUUCUAUUUUUCUCCAAGACAAACUUAGCUCUACCAGAGUGUCACCUCUGGGUCUCCAGUCCCCCCUGUGUUCCUUCCUGACAUGCGCAGUUACACUCCUCCCGUCAUCAUCGUGGCGUUGCAGGUGAUAGGCGAUCAGCACUGUGCCCUGGCUCAAGAAAGGGAGUUGUCAACAUAGUCUGGCCAAGAAACCAAAACUUGGCCUGGACCAUCAGCCAGUGGCCACCAUGGCAUCAGUAACACAGGAAGCCCCAUGGGUAGAGGCAUUUAAGCAAUGAAGUUAAGAAAGAUGUCAUAAAACGUGUUACUUGCAGUUUAGAUGCUAUUGAUUGCUACACUGCAACAGCUCCUGGCUUGCUUACCUCGGAGGGCAAUGCUCAGAAAACUUCAAGCUGCAGGUCUAUGGAGGAUGCUUCUCUGGUGUUGAAGAGAAAGCAGUGUUCCUAUGUGGGAACACCAAACCUUGAGCAGAGACCCACUUCCCCUUCUGCCUGGGAGUAGGCAGCUGUAAGACAAUGUUUA
Molecule: long non-coding RNA, 801 nt
Organism: Mesocricetus auratus (golden hamster)
Lineage: Eukaryota; Metazoa; Chordata; Mammalia; Rodentia; Cricetidae
Exons: 3
Source: RefSeq, a predicted model, not a curated record